GUAGUGGUCAUUCAGCGGUAGAACUCUUGCCUUCCACACAGGAAAUCCAGGUUUGAUUCCUGGCCAGUGCA
RNAcentral lists this transfer RNA (71 nucleotides) under Loxodonta africana (African savanna elephant). It matches the Rfam family "tRNA". From Rfam's summary of the family: Transfer RNA (tRNA) molecules are approximately 80 nucleotides in length. Their secondary structure includes four short double-helical elements and three loops (D, anti-codon, and T loops). Further hydrogen bonds mediate the characteristic L-shaped molecular structure. tRNAs have two regions of fundamental functional importance: the anti-codon, which is responsible for specific mRNA codon recognition, and the 3' end, to which the tRNAs corresponding amino acid is attached (by aminoacyl-tRNA synthetases). tRNAs cope with the degeneracy of the genetic code in two manners: having more than one tRNA (with a specific anti-codon) for a particular amino acid; and 'wobble' base-pairing, i.e. permitting non-standard base-pairing at the 3rd anti-codon position. Lineage: Eukaryota; Metazoa; Chordata; Mammalia; Proboscidea; Elephantidae. The record is from Rfam by way of RNAcentral.